CAGAGGGAAUGCUUGCUUUCUCCUGCCCUCUUGUCUUGUGACACUGACACUUCCCUUUGUGUUUUUCAGAGGCUUUCUGGAGUCUGCUUUUUGUUUGCUCUAUCAGUUUGCCCAAACAAAAAAAACAGCUACUGCUGAAAAUAGCAGAACCAACAUGUAAGUGAUGGCAGAAGUUUGGGAAACUUAGCAAAUGCAGCACUUUGGACUAGAAUACCUCCCAUGCACGAGAAGGAAAAAGACCUAGUUGUGUGGACAGCACCCUAUGCAGACAGUGCUUUCUAAACAUGUGUGGACAAAGGAAUUGUAUACAAACCUGCAAGAAUUCAUAUAUUGACAGAAUUGCUAAAAUCUGAAGUCUCUCAGGAAUGGAUAAAUUCCUGUUUCCGUUUUCUCUCUUGCUGAGACCAGUCUAGGAAAAAUCCCAGAAGAAGUCAUUGUUGGAGUUAGAUGCUAGCUUCACAGUCUGUGAGAUGUCCAACAGGUAAAAACAUCAAAGCAGGCACAGCUUAUAACCAUACUUGGAGAGUCCUAAUGUUGGUCCUUGCCUUGACUCAACUGAAAAGCUUCCAUUUUAUGUAACUCUUUUCUGCUUUCAGAGUCCUUCAAGCUACGUGUUGCAGGCUGUAGGAGUUGGCUUUCGCACCCAUAGCUGGUAGCCAGCUGGCCAGUCUAUGGGCUCCCUCUAUAGUCAAUAGAUAGAGGUAAGCCUGAUGAUGCUGUCUACAUCCUCUGCUAAAGAAGAAGAGACCUGUGCUACGGAGGUAAAGAUCAGUUCUGCUGAUGAACCACAACAGAUGCAGGAACAGAUUUAGAGUCACUACGAAAACUGCACCCUGCUUACGCCUCUGAACACGGUACAUGUUCCACAUCAUGUUACAGAAGUGAUGCUGCAAAGGCCAUCCUCCUCUUCCACUAUGUCCUCAUAGCCAUGCACACUGUUCUGAAGAGACAUCAUGUUUUAGAAGAGUUGGGAAGAUCCAUAAAAGCAAAACACUGGUUGCUAUUGAUGGCAUGUGAAAGUUGCACUGUCAGCCACUCAGGAGUCUCAGUACUGCCACACAGCUUUGGGGCGUUUCAUAAAGCCCAGGGGAAGACUUGACAACUGAGAUAUAAGUUAACCAUGAGAUCAACAUAUUUUUAAGAUAUUCUGAGUUGCAGAGAACAGGAAGAACUUUACUAGGAAAUAUCUACACAAUUUGCCCUUCAUGUGAACCUCUUGGGUACACACAUCAAAAAGCCUUGGUCAGUCUGCAGGAGCCAUCAUCCAGCAGAGGGACUCUUACUUCACAGGUGUGCAGGACCAGGAUUUAUUUAAUGUAUGCCAUCCAGAUACUUCUCAGAUUGCAAUUUCUUCUUUUUUUUUUCCUCUCAUAAUCAUGUCUGUAGUUUGAUUAGCGUAAAACGUGAUUUCUUCACAGAUACUACGGUGUUGUUCUCACUGCAUUUAUGAGAUGAAUCUAUAUAGUUAUAACCACUAUGCAACAAGGAAGCUGAAGUGCCAAGAUUAUUAAUAACAGCAUCAAGCAUACGCUUGUUCUAGGAACCUGGUUUAUGAAUUAUUUUCCUCCAAAGCAAUGCAUGAUGGUGGAGAACAAUUCCCAUGUGUUGUAGCUGCACCCUUGUACUUCUGGUUCUUGGUCUUCACCUUGGGCCCUGGAACAUGACUGAACAAAACCUCAGAGGCCACCUAUGAAAAGCUAAGUUUACAUGUAAAGGAAAGGUGCUUAAUUUACUUGGUAAGCAGUAGACAUCAAGGAUAGAUUGGAUAAAUUCAGGUCUGUGUACCUACAUCCCUUGGUGGAUUUUGUGCCGGCCUUAUGACAUGCUUGCAGAUUCCAGUAGUAUUUCUAGCACUAGACUAGGCAUCUCUGAAAUGUGAGUCUUACAGGAUUUUCCUUCAUGGCUAUCUGCAGGGCUCCUCAAUGAAACUGACUCCUAAAGACACAACCAGCCCCAAAUACUUUUCAGUCUGCUCAGAGACUGGCCCUACACUCCUGUGCAGCUAUCUGGUAGAGUCUCCUUACCUUCUAUGAAUACCACCCAUAGAGAGGGAGUUCAGCAGUCUGAAGCCAACCUGCUAGCCAUGUUACAGCAAUUUAAGGACAUACUCAAUCUGUCCCUAAUCAGCUCCCAAGAGCUUUUACUCACAGGACAGAGAUACCAUUUCCUUUGUAGCUUCUGUAGAUAACAGAAAAACACUGGACUUAGGUAAGUCAGCAAAAUGUCCUUUGAUACAGUCCAUGGCAAACUAACCACACCACAGAAUCUGUGAUACCGCAGACUGUGCGGUUCUCUAUCCCCACCAACUGGGGAUCGCUGUGGUGUCUUCGGUACUACAGUGUGGUAAAUUUUAUUGUAUUCUCUGUCUCUCUUUUUGUAAUGUAGUACUAAUUGCUGUCUCAUAACAGGAAAGGAAUAGCUAGUUUACAUCUUGGUCCACAAAUGAGAAAUCUUACACCUGCACUGUUAGCUGCAGACAAGCUCUCUGUGCCACUGUGCAAAACAAUGUCAUUGUUAGCAAGUGUGAUGUGAAGCCACAUCCCUCUCUAUUUGUCGUGCUCUCAGGUCACAUUGCAGUAAUUGUUUUAUGCAGGUAUAUUUAGUGCCUGCAAACCAGUUUGCUGUCCUUCUUGGAAGAGAUUAAAUGUUAAGAUGAAAGCAAGUGAUAAAAAGUGAUAAAAAGUGAUAAAAGUGAUAAAAAUAACUUCAACUGAAAAGCCAGCUCAUCAAGAGAAUUCAAUGGAAAGGUGUUUUUUAUGCCUAGGCUGUACUAAAAUAUGUUAGGAUAAAGUCUUAAGUAAAGCUUUAAGUGGAUCUCAGCUAAAAAGUUUCUUUGCAUUGCCUGACGUGCAGUUGGAUUCACCUGGAAUCUCAAAACCAAACAAUCCCCCAAAUGUUUCUUUGGGGAAUUAACAUCUUACAGGGAUGCUCCAUUUUAUAAGACUUAAAGUCUCAACGCAUUUUCAAUCCUACUAGCACUUGUCCUCAAAUACUGGUGAAGUUUACUGUCUGCUACAGUUUUUCACACUGAUGAGGGACCAUUUCUUAUCUCCUUCUUCCUGUGUUAAAUGCAUUAAAUAUUCAAUACCCACAGAGUGCUCACCACUGACACUUCCAGCUACCAUCCAGUGCUCUCCCCUCACCCAGUUCACUGAAGAGACGGUCGGGUAGGUCUGGGCCCCGCAAACCUCUGUUCAUUCACUGAAACAGGGAAGUCAGUCCUGAAAUGUGUCUUAACAUUGUCUGAGAAAAAAGCCUAGAAAAAUCAGUGCCUGAGGCACUGGACAUCGGCUGCAACCAGGAAAAGCUGUUGUAUGAGUGCUGUAACAAGUGAAAGCAGUUUAUCACCUAGCUUGAGAAACAGUGUGAAGGAGAAGAGGAUGCCUUACAAGAAGGGAAGACGUACUGACAAGCAUUGGAGCCCCACUGUGUGGGUGAGAGAGGACACCUGACUGUCUCCUCCAGCUCGAAAGAAGGAAAGGACCUAGUGGCAGAGAGAGAGAGAAGACAAGAAGCUGGGCCUGGAAGUUAUUUAAGGGUCACCAGAGUUUGAGAAGGCCUCUGAGAUUUUCAUGUUCCCAACUGAAAGUUGAAGGCAGGCAAGCUUAAGAAUUUGGUGGUGUUAUGAGUUCAUGUCAGCAGAAAAUUGUAAACCACAGAAAGUUUUGUAUCUCAUCUCUGGGUUAAUUUAUUAAUGCAUUUGGGGUUUGCAUUGAUACAAUAACCACAAAACGUAUUUGGGUUAUAAUGUGUUUCUAAUUAAAAGAGCAACACCCAUACCAGAAAGAAGACUCGGGUGUCAGGUAGCCAAAAUUCUCAUCUAAGAACUACAAGAGGUUACACUGCAUGGCCGCAAAUACACAAUUUCAUUGA
Anas platyrhynchos (mallard) is the source of this 3873-nucleotide long non-coding RNA. RefSeq lists it as uncharacterized. NCBI's taxonomy places the organism in Eukaryota, Metazoa, Chordata, Aves, Anseriformes, Anatidae. The record is from RefSeq and is a predicted model, not a curated record.